RNAcentral lists this ribosomal RNA (272 nucleotides) under uncultured prokaryote. RNAcentral's name for it is "partial 16S ribosomal RNA". It matches the Rfam family "Bacterial small subunit ribosomal RNA", at positions 524 to 796 of the family's 1533-position model. The record is from RNAcentral.
GACGGAGGAUGCAAGCGUUAUCCGGAAUGAUUGGGCGUAAAGCGUCCGCAGGUGGCAGUUCAAGUCUGCUGUCAAAGACCGGGGCUUAACUUCGGAAAGGCAGUGGAAACUGAACAGCUAGAGUAUGGUAGGGGCAGAGGGAAUUCCUGGUGUAGCGGUGAAAUGCGUAGAGAUCAGGAAGAACAUCGGUGGCGAAGGCGCUCUGCUGGACCAUAACUGACACUCAGGGACGAAAGCUAGGGGAGCGAAUGGGAUUAGAAACCCGAUAGUCC